GACAGAGGCCUCAAGCGUUAGGCGGAAUCACUGGGCUUAAAGCGUGUGUAGGCGGAUCGUUAAGUGUCUUGUGAAAUCCCACGGCUCACCCGUGGAACGGCUGGGCAUACUGGCGAUCUUGGGCCAACUAGGGACAACUGGAACAAGCGGUGGAGCGGUGAAAUGCGUAGAUAUCGCUUGGAACGCCGAAGGUGAAAACAGGUUGCUGGGGUUGUGCCGACGCUGAGACACGAAAGCCAGGGGAGCAAACGGG
Molecule: ribosomal RNA, 253 nt
Filed under: uncultured bacterium
Lineage: Bacteria
Description: partial 16S ribosomal RNA
Rfam family: Bacterial small subunit ribosomal RNA
Source: RNAcentral